RNAcentral lists this ribosomal RNA (496 nucleotides) under uncultured bacterium. Its description in RNAcentral is "partial 16S ribosomal RNA". It matches the Rfam family "Bacterial small subunit ribosomal RNA", at positions 29 to 507 of the family's 1533-position model. The record is from RNAcentral.
AUGAACGCUGGCGGCGUGCCUAAUACAUGCCAGUCGAGCGAACAGACGAGGAGCUUGCUCCUCUGACGUUAGCGGCGGACGGGUGAGUAACACGUGGAUAACCUACCUAUAAGACUGGGAUAACUUCGGGAAACCGGAGCUAAUACCGGAUAAUAUAUUGAACCGCAUGGUUCAAUAGUGAAAGACGGUUUUGCUGUCACUUAUAGAUGGAUCCGCGCCGCAUUAGCUAGUUGGUAAGGUAACGGCUUACCAAGGCGACGAUGCGUAGCCGACCUGAGAGGGUGAUCGGCCACACUGGAACUGAGACACGGUCCAGACUCCUACGGGAGGCAGCAGUAGGGAAUCUUCCGCAAUGGGCGAAAGCCUGACGGAGCUACGCCGCGUGAGUGAUGAAGGUCUUCGGAUCGUAAAACUCUGUUAUUAGGGAAGAACAAAUGUGUAAGUAACUAUGCACGUCUUGACGGUACCUAAUCAGAAAGCCACGGCUAACUACGUG